This 768-nucleotide ribosomal RNA is filed under the name Micrococcus sp. TSASRA059. RNAcentral's name for it is "bacterial SSU rRNA". It matches the Rfam family "Bacterial small subunit ribosomal RNA", at positions 128 to 894 of the family's 1533-position model. Lineage: Bacteria; Bacillati; Actinomycetota; Actinomycetes; Micrococcales; Micrococcaceae. The record is from RNAcentral.
GCACUUANCUCUGGGAUAAGCCUGGGAAACUGGGUCUAAUACCGGAUAGGAGCGUCCACCGCAUGGUGGGUGUUGGAAAGAUUUAUCGGUUUUGGAUGGACUCGCGGCCUAUCAGCUUGUUGGUGAGGUAAUGGCUCACCAAGGCGACGACGGGUAGCCGGCCUGAGAGGGUGACCGGCCACACUGGGACUGAGACACGGCCCAGACUCCUACGGGAGGCAGCAGUGGGGAAUAUUGCACAAUGGGCGCAAGCCUGAUGCAGCGACGCCGCGUGAGGGAUGACGGCCUUCGGGUUGUAAACCUCUUUCAGUAGGGAAGAAGCGAAAGUGACGGUACCUGCAGAAGAAGCACCGGCUAACUACGUGCCAGCAGCCGCGGUAAUACGUAGGGUGCGAGCGUUAUCCGGAAUUAUUGGGCGUAAAGAGCUCGUAGGCGGUUUGUCGCGUCUGUCGUGAAAGUCCGGGGCUUAACCCCGGAUCUGCGGUGGGUACGGGCAGACUAGAGUGCAGUAGGGGAGACUGGAAUUCCUGGUGUAGCGGUGGAAUGCGCAGAUAUCAGGAGGAACACCGAUGGCGAANGCAGGUCUCUGGGCUGUAACUGACGCUGAGGAGCGAAAGCAUGGGGGAGCGAACAGGGAGUAGAUACCCUGGUAGUCCAUGCCCGUAAAACGUUGGGGCACUAAGGUGUGGGGGACCCAUUCCACGGUUUCAGCGCCGCACCUAACGCAUUUAAGUGCCCCCCGGCCUGGGGGAGUACGGCCGGCAAGGC